GAUGGUCUACGCUAAAGUACGUGGUUUCAUACGCUAAUGUGCGAUAGUCCGGGAAAAUAUAGACGUAAAAACGUAGUUCGAUAAUGACGUCGGUAUAAUAGAGAUACUUGUUUUCAUGCGUUAACUAUAAAUUGUCUUCUAAAACAUAAGUUCGUACUGUGUAUUGUAGAAAAACAUGCAAAAGGAGAAAGCUCGGCGAACAUUGCAUUUCUCUCGUAUUUAAAUUUAAGCUUAUGUACAUAUUCCGACAAUGAGCGAAUUAGGAAUUUUUAAUUUUCAGACAAA
This 285-nucleotide long non-coding RNA is filed under the name Mytilus galloprovincialis (Mediterranean mussel). Lineage: Eukaryota; Metazoa; Mollusca; Bivalvia; Mytilida; Mytilidae. The record is from RNAcentral.